AUGCUCCUGCCGGCCGCCGGCUUCCGGAACGAGGCCCAGCCCCAGACCCUGGACCGGCGCCGCUCGUCGGCACCGACGCCGCCGGCCACGGACCGCGAGCGCCCGAUCCGGCGCUCCCGCUCGAUGAGGCUGCAGACCCGGCCAACGGAGGCGGAGGACGCCGAGGAUGAGGGGGAGGAGGGGGAGGCGCAGGGGCAGGGGCGCGUCCGCGCGCAGUCGGGGCAGAGGCGGAGGAGGCGGUCGCAGAGGCAGUGCGGGCACACGCCGCCGCAGGGCGCUGGCGGGUGCUUCCGGCAGCGCGAGUCGUCGCCGGGCAUGCCCAUGUGUGCGCCGACCGGUCGAUCCCUCCGCGCCGUCCGUCCGUCCGUCCGUUCGGUUGCGGUGGAUCCCGCUGGCGCUCGCGGUUUCGGAGGGAGAGGGAGUUUUUUUACGGAGAGAGGGAGGGAGUUGCGGCGUUCGUUCGUUGGCUCGGCUCUAGAGACGCGGGGAAGCAGAGGGUGCGUCUCUCUUAUAAGCGGGGCCGGGGCCCACGGAGUUUCUCCGGUGAACGGCGUUUUGGUGCACCGCACCGGUUUUCUUCCGGUGGGUUUUCCAUCUUGCCAACAACCAUUGCAGGGGGAUAAGAUGAUGCGCUGGACGCUAUAUCUCGAGCUCGAAUUGUCGUGGUAUGUAAAAUGGUGA
This 681-nucleotide ribosomal RNA is filed under the name Triticum aestivum (bread wheat). RNAcentral's name for it is "partial small subunit ribosomal RNA". The record is from RNAcentral. Lineage: Eukaryota; Viridiplantae; Streptophyta; Magnoliopsida; Poales; Poaceae.